AUGGAGAGUAGUAAAUGUUCUAUGCUUGUAGAUAAUGAAAAGAAUGCUUUAGGUGCUGGUUAUAUUGUUGAAUUCAUUCAUGAUGCUACUGAAAAAUUUUAUGAGGGAGGAACAUAUGCUUGUAGGAAUUGCAAUAAUAUCAAGUUUCCUCUCUAUGUGGUGAAAAUCUUGAAGCUACGCUUGUUUUACCUUCCUAUGCUAGUUGAUUAUUGUUCCCAUAAGUUGUUUGCUCACAAAAUCACUAGGCAUAGGAAGUGGGUUAGACUUAAAGGUGCUAGUCAUAUGCUUCAUGAUGCUUCCGUUAUGUUUCAAUUCUUAUCUUUUAUGUGA
RNAcentral lists this ribosomal RNA (330 nucleotides) under Triticum aestivum (bread wheat). Its description in RNAcentral is "partial small subunit ribosomal RNA". Lineage: Eukaryota; Viridiplantae; Streptophyta; Magnoliopsida; Poales; Poaceae. The record is from RNAcentral.